GAUGAACGCUAGCGGCAGGCUUAACACAUGCAAGUCGAGGGGCAGCGCGGGAUAGCAAUAUCCUGGCGGCGACCGGCGGAAGGGUGCGUAACGCGUGAGCGACAUGCCCGUUGCCCGGGGACAACCGGUGGAAACGCCGACUAAUCCCCGAUGGGAUACGAUGCUUCAUGGCAUUGUAUUGAAAGUUACGGCGGCGACGGAUUGGCUCGCGUCCGAUUAGCUGGUUGGCGGGGUAACGGCCCACCAAGGCUGCGAUCGGUAGGGGUUCUGAGAGGAAGGCCCCCCACAAGGGGACUGAGACACGGCCCAUACUCCUACGGGAGGCAGCAGUGAGGAAUAUUGGUCAAUGGGCGGAAGCCUGAACCAGCCAUGCCGAGUGCGGGAAGGAGGCCCUAUGGGCUGUGAACCGCUUUUGCCUGGGGGCAAUAAGGGCGUCGCGCACGUCCGAUGAGAGUACCAGGCGAAUAAGCAUCGGCUAACUCCGUG
RNAcentral lists this ribosomal RNA (486 nucleotides) under uncultured bacterium. RNAcentral's name for it is "partial 16S ribosomal RNA". It matches the Rfam family "Bacterial small subunit ribosomal RNA", at positions 28 to 507 of the family's 1533-position model. The record is from RNAcentral.